CCUACGGGAGACUGCAGUGAGGAAUAUUGGUCAAUGGACGCAAGUCUGAACCAGCCAUGUAGCGUGAAGGAUGACUGCUCUACGGGUUGUAAACUUCUUUUAUAAAAGGAUAAACUGAGGUACGCGUGCCUUUUUGAAUGUAUUUUACGAAUAAGGAUCGGCUAACUCCGUGCCAGCAGCCGCGGUAAUACGGAGGAUUCGAGCGUUAUCCGGAUUUAUUGGGUUUAAAGGGUGCGUAGAUGGUCGGUUAAGUUAGUUGUGAAAGUUUGAGGCUCAACCGUAGAAUUGCAAUUGAUACUGGCAGGCUAGAGAAUAGUUGCGGUAGGCGGAAUGUAUGGUGUAGCGGUGAAAUGCUUAGAGAUCACACAGAACACCGAUUGCGAAGGCAGCUUACUAAGCUACCUCUGACAUUGAUGCACGAAAGCGUGGGGAUCAAACAGGAUUAGAUACCCUUGUAGUC
Molecule: ribosomal RNA, 460 nt
Filed under: uncultured bacterium
Lineage: Bacteria
Description: partial 16S ribosomal RNA
Rfam family: Bacterial small subunit ribosomal RNA
Source: RNAcentral